RNAcentral lists this long non-coding RNA (232 nucleotides) under Gossypium barbadense (sea-island cotton). Its description in RNAcentral is "long non-coding RNA (GBAR_LNC009419)". Lineage: Eukaryota; Viridiplantae; Streptophyta; Magnoliopsida; Malvales; Malvaceae. The record is from RNAcentral.
CACCAUCGCAGGUUGUAUAUGGCAUGUAUAGCUAGACUCACAUACGCUAUGUUAGUCCUAGAAUCGACUAAAAUGUGGCUCUGAUACCAAUAAAUGUAACACACCUAACCCGUAUCCGUCACUGGGAUAAGGUUACGAAGUAUUACUAGACUAAUCUCAUAAACAAUAGUAUAAUUCAAAUUAUAAUUCUAAUAUAAUUAAAAUCCAUACAAAUGCAAUCAAAUAGUCCCUA